AGUCACCAUCUUGAUUGAGUGAGUCAUUCAGUCAUUGAUUUAACCGACUCCUUCAAAUGGAUGAUUAAUUCGGAAACGAAGCAAGUAACUGAAUUGCAGACUGAA
This is a long non-coding RNA of Sinocyclocheilus grahami, 105 nucleotides long. RefSeq lists it as uncharacterized. NCBI's taxonomy places the organism in Eukaryota, Metazoa, Chordata, Actinopteri, Cypriniformes, Cyprinidae. The transcript has 3 exons. The record is from RefSeq and is a predicted model, not a curated record.